CCUACGGGCGGCAGCAGUGGGGAAUAUUGCACAAUGGGGGAAACCCUGAUGCAGCGACGCCGCGUGAGUGAAGAAGUAUUUCGGUACGUAAAGCUCUAUCAGCAGGGAAGAAAAUGACGGUACCUGACUAAGAAGCCCCGGCUAACUACGUGCCAGCAGCCGCGGUAAUACGUAGGGGGCAAGCGUUAUCCGGAUUUACUGGGGGUAAAGGGAGCGUAGACGGCAGCGCAAGUCUGGAGUGAAAUCCCAUGGCUUAACCAUGGAACUGCUUUGGAAACUGUGCAGCUAGAGUGCAGGAGAGGUAAGCGGAAUUCCUAGUGUAGCGGUGAAAUGCGUAGAUAUUAGGAGGAACACCAGUGGCGAAGGCGGCUUACUGGACUGUAACUGACGUUGAGGCUCGAAAGCGUGGGGAGCAAACAGGAUUAGAUACCCCAGUAGUC
RNAcentral lists this ribosomal RNA (440 nucleotides) under uncultured bacterium. RNAcentral's name for it is "partial 16S ribosomal RNA". It matches the Rfam family "Bacterial small subunit ribosomal RNA", at positions 338 to 795 of the family's 1533-position model. The record is from RNAcentral.